RNAcentral lists this ribosomal RNA (109 nucleotides) under Pteropus alecto (black flying fox). The record is from RNAcentral. Lineage: Eukaryota; Metazoa; Chordata; Mammalia; Chiroptera; Pteropodidae.
GUCUAUGGCUAUGCCACCCUGAACACGCCCGAUCUUGGAAGCUAAGCAGGGUCAGACCUUGUUAGUACUUGGAUGGGAGACCACCUAGGAAGACCGGAUGCUGUAGGCA